AGCAGCCGCGGUAAUUCCAGCUCCAAUAGCGUAUAUUAAAGUUGUUGCAGUUAAAAAGCUCGUAGUUGAAUUUCGGGAUUCGUCCAUUGGUCAGGCUUAACUGUCUGUACUGGUGUGUCGGAUUUCUACCUUCUGAAGAACCUUUAUGCCAUUAAUUUGGUGUGUUGGGGAAUCAGGACUGUUACUUUGAAAAAAUUAGAGUGUUUAAAGCAGGCUAACGUCUGAAUACAUUAGCAUGGAAUAAUGAAAUAGGACGGUACGGUUCUAUUUUGUUGGCUUCUAGGAUCGCCGUAAUGAUUAAUAGGGAUAGUUGGGGGCAUUAGUAUUCAAUUGUCAGAGGUGAAAUUCUUGGAUCUAUUGAAGACUAACUACUGCGAAAGCAUUUGCCAAGGAUGUUUU
RNAcentral lists this ribosomal RNA (399 nucleotides) under uncultured Glomeromycotina. RNAcentral describes it as "bacterial SSU rRNA". It matches the Rfam family "Eukaryotic small subunit ribosomal RNA", at positions 569 to 970 of the family's 1831-position model. The record is from RNAcentral. Lineage: Eukaryota; Fungi; Glomeromycota.